UACAGAGGUGGCAAGCGUUGUUCGGAAUUACUGGGCGUAAAGGGCGCGUAGGCGGCCAUCUAAGUCAGACGUGAAGUCCCCCGGCUUAACCUGGGAACUGCGUCUGAUACUGGACGGCUAGAGUAUGGGAGAGGGAUGUAGAAUUCCAGGUGUAGCGGUGAAAUGCGUAGAUAUCUGGAGGAAUACCGGUGGCGAAGGCGGCAUCCUGGACCAUUUACUGACGCUGAGGCGCGAAAGCUAGGGGAGCAAACGGG
RNAcentral lists this ribosomal RNA (254 nucleotides) under uncultured bacterium. Its description in RNAcentral is "partial 16S ribosomal RNA". It matches the Rfam family "Bacterial small subunit ribosomal RNA", at positions 524 to 776 of the family's 1533-position model. The record is from RNAcentral.